ACGCUGGCGGCGUGCCUAAUACAUGCAAGUUGAGCGAAUGAUGAAGAAGCUUGCUUCUUCUGAUUUAGCGGCGGACGGGUGAGUAACACGUGGGCAACCUGCCCUGUAGAUUGGGAUAACUCCGGGAAACCGGGGCUAAUACCGAAUAAUCCAUUACCUCACAUGGGGGAAUGUUAAAAGACGGUCUCGGCUGUCACUACAGGAUGGGCCCGCGGCGCAUUAGCUAGUUGGUGAGGUAACGGCUCACCAAGGCGACGAUGCGUAGCCGACCUGAGAGGGUGAUCGGCCACACUGGGACUGAGACACGGCCCAGACUCCUACGGGAGGCAGCAGUAGGGAAUCUUCCACAAUGGACGAAAGUCUGAUGGAGCAACGCCGCGUGAGUGAAGAAGGUUUUCGGAUCGUAAAACUCUGUUGUGAGGGAAGAACAAGUAUGAGAGUAACUGCUCGUACCUUGACGGUACCUCAUUAGAAAGCCACGGCUAACUACGUGCCAGCAGCCGCGGUAAUACGUAGGUGGCAAGCGUUGUCCGGAAUUAUUGGGCGUAAAGCGCGCGCAGGCGGUCCUUUAAGUUUGAUGUGAAAGCCCCCGGCUCAACCGUGGAGGGUCAUUGGAAACUGGGGGACUUGAGUGCAGAAGAGGAAAGCGGAAUUCCAAGUGUAGCGGUGAAAUGCGUAGAGAUUUGGAGGAACACCAGUGGCGAAGGCGGCUUUUUGGCUCUAGUAACUGACAGCUGAGGUCGCGAAAGCAGUGGGGAGCAAACAGGAUUAGAUACCCUGGUAGUCCAUGCCGUAAACGAUGAGUGCUAAGUGUUGGGGGGUUUCCGCCCCUUAUGGCUCCACUUAACCCAUUAAGCACCCCCCCGGGGGAGUCCGGCCGCAAAAUAAAAACUCAAAGAAUUUGACGGGGGCCCCCCCAAGCGGGGAAGCAUGGGGUUUAAUUCAAACCACCGCAAAAAACCUUCCUGGGUCUGGACAUCCCAGAAACUUCCCUAGAUAUAUGGUUUCCCCUUCGGGGACAGAUACGAGAGGUGGUGGGUGGUCGUCAUCAGCUCGUGUGAGGAGAUGUUGGGAUAACUCCCACAACGAGCACCACCCUUGAUCUUUGUUGCCAGCAUUCAGUUGGGCACUUCUAAGGUGACUGCAGUGAAAAACCGGAGGAGGGGGGGGAUGACGUCAAAUCAUCAUGGCCCCUUAUGACCUGGGCUACACACGUGCUACAAUGGACGGUACAAAGGGUCCUACCCCGCGAGGGAUAGCUAUCCCAUAAACCAUCUCGUUCGGAUUGAGGCUGCAACUCGACUCCAUGAAGCGGAUCGCUAGUAAUCGUGGAUCAACUGCCGCGGUGAAUACGUUCCCGGGCCUUGUACACACGCCCGUCACACCAUGGAGAGUUUGUACACCGAAGUCGGAGUGUAACCCUUGUGGGAG
This 1431-nucleotide ribosomal RNA is filed under the name Psychrobacillus psychrodurans. RNAcentral's name for it is "partial 16S ribosomal RNA". It matches the Rfam family "Bacterial small subunit ribosomal RNA". Lineage: Bacteria; Bacillati; Bacillota; Bacilli; Caryophanales; Bacillaceae. The record is from RNAcentral.